AUCACCACCGUCUCCAUCAUCAUGGGAGGAAUGGAAGGAGCCUAUUAGGAUGGAGAGAGAGGGAAGGGUAGGCAGUGGUGGUGCUAGUCUCCACCGGUGGCACCACCACGGUCAAAGAGAUGGGUUUUGUUUGAUUUUUUUGGAGAGUAAUUAUGUCCAAAUUUUAUUUUGCAACGUUGUCAAAGAAUUGAUAUCUGGAUAGCCACCCCUCCUUAAGACUUUUAAAUUAUCUCUUGAGAGGACAAUCUGGAUUGCCACCCGAAAGGCAUAUGAAACAU
This 278-nucleotide long non-coding RNA is filed under the name Elaeis guineensis (African oil palm). RNAcentral's name for it is "long non-coding RNA (EGUI_LNC026094)". Lineage: Eukaryota; Viridiplantae; Streptophyta; Magnoliopsida; Arecales; Arecaceae. The record is from RNAcentral.